This is a non-coding RNA of Acanthosepion pharaonis, 99 nucleotides long. Lineage: Eukaryota; Metazoa; Mollusca; Cephalopoda; Sepiida; Sepiidae. The record is from the annotation of a GenBank genome assembly.
AUUGAAAUACGGGUUUCCGUACAAUCACCGAAGUUAAGCAAAGUCGAGCCUAGUCAGCACUUAGAUGGGUGACCACUGGCGAAUACCAGGUGCUGUAAG